RNAcentral lists this ribosomal RNA (394 nucleotides) under uncultured bacterium. Its description in RNAcentral is "bacterial SSU rRNA". It matches the Rfam family "Bacterial small subunit ribosomal RNA", at positions 505 to 898 of the family's 1533-position model. The record is from RNAcentral.
GUGCCAGCAGCCGCGGUAAUACGUAGGGUGCGAGCGUUAAUCGGAAUUACUGGGCGUAAAGCGUGCGUAGGCGGUUUCGCAAGUCCGCUGUGAAAGCCCCGGGCUUAACCUGGGAAUGGCAGUGGAAACUAUGGGACUUGAAUCUGGCAGAGGGGGGUGGAAUGCCACGUGUAGCAGUGAAAUGCGUAGAUAUCCGGAGGAACACCGGUGGCGAAGGCGGCUUCCUGGACCGACACUGACGCUGAGGCGCGAAAGCUAGGGGAGCAAACGGGAUUAGAUACCCUGGUAGUCCACGCCAUAAACGAUGACAACUAGAUGUUGGGAGGGUCUGCCUCUCGGUGUCGCAGCUAACGCGUUAAGUUGUCCGCCUGGGGAGUACGGCCGCAAGGUUGAA